UUAGGGUUUCGACUCCAUCUCCGAUCAAAAUCAAAUACAUCUCCGAUCAAAUCCACUGACGAAGUUGAGAGAGAGAGAAACUUGGAUAUGGCCGAUGAGUAUUGCAACCUCCGCCUCUGCUUACCCAGAGAAGUUCUACGCCGCCGCAUCAUACAUCGCUCUCGACGGAUUUGAUUUUUCGAGUAAUUCUCAACGAACAGGGUACUGUUGGACCUUCCAACAUUCAGAACACUAUUGGAUUGGAGACCAGUGGAGCAAAGCAAAUGGAAAAGGUUAAAAGAGCUUGAUCUGGACGUGGUUGAUUGAGACAGGAAAAGCUUGAUGAAACUGGAAGAUCAAAUGUGACUUAUGUAAUGGAUCUCAGCUCGUUAUAUGCACUACUAAAACAUGUAGCGUACGACUUGAUGAGGUUAGCAUUUCAUAUUAUAUCGAUGACUUCGAAGAAAACUACCGGAACAUCGGGAAUAUAGUCGAGCUAUAUGACUGUUAACAUAAGGUAUAACCCUUUUCACUCUUUAUUGCAGUUUACUUUCUCAGGUCUUUAUCUCUACUGCUUUUAAAGGCAUUAAGUCUCUUUUAUAUGCUUGGAAAUAUAAUCAGUGAAAGUAUUGCGAUCUCAA
This is a long non-coding RNA of Capsella rubella, 620 nucleotides long. RefSeq lists it as uncharacterized. NCBI's taxonomy places the organism in Eukaryota, Viridiplantae, Streptophyta, Magnoliopsida, Brassicales, Brassicaceae. The transcript has 5 exons. The record is from RefSeq and is a predicted model, not a curated record.